RNAcentral lists this ribosomal RNA (513 nucleotides) under Ericmodes sylvaticus. RNAcentral describes it as "partial 16S ribosomal RNA". The stretch from base 386 to 513 matches the Rfam family "Bacterial large subunit ribosomal RNA", at positions 2473 to 2600 of the family's 2925-position model. Lineage: Eukaryota; Metazoa; Arthropoda; Insecta; Coleoptera; Protocucujidae. The record is from RNAcentral.
GUCCUUUUGAAUUUAAUUUAAGGUCUAACCUGCCCACUGAAUAGUAUUUAAAUGGCCGCGGUAUUUUGACCGUGCAAAGGUAGCAUAAUCAUUAGUUUUUUAAUUGAAAGCUGGAAUGAAAGGUUGGAUGAGAAAAUAGCUGUCUCUAUUUAAUUUAAUUAGAAUUUUAUUUUUAAGUUAAAAAGCUUAAAUAAUAUUAAAAGACGAGAAGACCCUAUAGAGUUUUAUAAUUUUUAAUUUGUAAUUUUUUAGAAUUUAAUAUGAAUAGAUUAAAAAUUAUUUGAUUGGGGUGAUUGAAAAAUUUAAUAAACUUUUUUUAUAUUGAAACAUUUAUUUAUGAAAAAUUGAUCCAUUUUUUAUGAUUAUAAGAUUAAAUUACCUUAGGGAUAACAGCGUAAUUUUUUUUGAGAGUUCUAAUCGAAAAAAAAGAUUGCGACCUCGAUGUUGGAUUAAAAUUAAUUUUUGGUGUAGAAGCUAAAAAUAUUAGGUCUGUUCGACCUUUAAAAUUUUACA